AGAAUCAACGCUGGCGGCGUGCCUAACACAUGCAAGUCGAACGAGAAAGUGGAGCAAUCCAUGAGUAAAGUGGCGACCGGGUGAGUAACACGUGACUAACCUACCUUCGAGUGGGGGAUAACCUCGGGAAACCGAGGCUAAUACCGCAUAACAUCGCAAGAUCAAAGCAGCAAUGCGCUGGAAGAGGGGGUCGCGGCUGAUUAGCUAGUUGGCGGGUAACGCCCACAAGGCGAAGAU
Molecule: ribosomal RNA, 237 nt
Filed under: uncultured bacterium
Lineage: Bacteria
Description: partial small subunit ribosomal RNA
Rfam family: Bacterial small subunit ribosomal RNA
Source: RNAcentral